RNAcentral lists this ribosomal RNA (205 nucleotides) under uncultured bacterium. Its description in RNAcentral is "partial 16S ribosomal RNA". It matches the Rfam family "Bacterial small subunit ribosomal RNA", at positions 524 to 727 of the family's 1533-position model. The record is from RNAcentral.
UACGUAGGGUGCGAGCGUUGUCCGGAAUUAUUGGGCGUAAAGGGCUCGUAGGCGGUUUGUCGCGUCGGGAGUGAAAACUCAGGGCUUAACCCUGAGCCUGCUUCCGAUACGGGCAGACUAGAGGUAUGCAGGGGAGAACGGAAUUCCUGGUGUAGCGGUGAAAUGCGCAGAAUAUCAGGAGGAACACCGGUGGCGAAGGCGGUUC